This 634-nucleotide ribosomal RNA is filed under the name uncultured bacterium. RNAcentral's name for it is "bacterial SSU rRNA". It matches the Rfam family "Bacterial small subunit ribosomal RNA", at positions 779 to 1411 of the family's 1533-position model. The record is from RNAcentral.
UAGAUACCCUGGUAGUCCACGCAGUAAACGAUGAACACUAGCCGUGCGGUGCGAUCAGGACCUGCGUGGCACAGCGAAAGCGUUAAGUGUUCCACCUGGGGAGUACGCCGGCAACGGUGAAACUCAAAGGAAUUGACGGGGGCCCGCACAAGCGGAGGAACAUGUGGUUUAAUUCGAUGAUACGCGAGGAACCUUACCCGGGCUCAAACGUCGCAGGACGGACCUUGAAAGAGGCCCUUCCUUCGGGACCUGCGACGAGGUGCUGCAUGGUUGUCGUCAGCUCGUGCCGUGAGGUGUCGGCUUAAGUGCCAUAACGAGCGCAACCCCCAUCGCCGGUUACCAUCAAGUAAAGUUGGGGACUCUGGCGAGACUGCCGGCGCAAGCUGCGAGGAAGGCGGGGAUGACGUCAAAUCAGCACGGCCCUUACGUCCGGGGCGACACACGUGUUACAAUGGCAGGCACAGAGAGAAGCGACAUGGCGACAUGAAGCGGAACUGUCAAAACCUGUCUCAGUUCGGAUUGGAGUCUGCAACCCGACUCCAUGAAGCUGGAUUCGCUAGUAAUCGCGCAUCAGCCACGGCGCGGUGAAUACGUUCCCGGGCCUUGUACACACCGCCCGUCAAGCCAUGAAAGC